Molecule: ribosomal RNA, 705 nt
Filed under: uncultured bacterium
Lineage: Bacteria
Description: bacterial SSU rRNA
Rfam family: Bacterial small subunit ribosomal RNA
Source: RNAcentral
AUUGAACGCNGGCGGCGUGCUUAACACAUGCAAGUCGAACGUGAAAGUCCUUCGGGACGAGUAAAGUGGCGCACGGGUGAGUAACGCGUGGAUAAUCUACCCUUAAGAUGGGGAUAACGGCUGGAAACGGUCGCUAAUACCGAAUACGCUCCCGAUUUUAUCGUUGGGGGGAAAGAUGGCCUCUGCUUGCAAGCUAUCGCUUAAGGAUGAGUCCGCGUCCCAUUAGCUAGUUGGCGGGGUAACGGCCCACCAAGGCGACGAUGGGUAGCCGGUCUGAGAGGAUGACCGGCCACACUGGAACUGGAACACGGUCCAGACUCCUACGGGAGGCAGCAGUGGGGAAUAUUGCGCAAUGGGCGAAAGCCUGACGCAGCGACGCCGCGUGAGGGAUGAAGGUUCUCGGAUCGUAAACCUCUGUCAGGGGGGAAGAAACCCCCUCGUGUGAAUAAUGCGAGGGCUUGACGGUACCCCCAAAGGAAGCACCGGCUAACUCCGUGCCAGCAGCCGCGGUAAUACGGAGGGUGCAAGCGUUAAUCGGAAUCACUGGGCGUAAAGCGCACGUAGGCGGCUUGGUAAGUCAGGGGUGAAAUCCCACAGCCCAACUGUGGAACUGCCUUUGAUACUGCCAGGCUUGAGUACCGGAGAGGGUGGCGGAAUUCCAGGUGUAGGAGUGAAAUCCGUAGAUAUCUGGAGGAACACCGGUGG